Regulatory RNA element from Actibacterium atlanticum, 78 nucleotides. It matches the Rfam family "L2-Alphaproteobacteria ribosomal protein leader". The record is from Rfam. Lineage: Bacteria; Pseudomonadati; Pseudomonadota; Alphaproteobacteria; Rhodobacterales; Roseobacteraceae.
GGCCACCUUCGGGGGGCUAACAUAGGCGGGGAACCGCCCUGCGGGUCACCCCCGCAGUUGCUAAACGGAAGACAGAAA